CUAAAACUUGUACAAUUCUUUUUUGCUUUGAUUUAAUGAGUCUUAAACAGAAGAAACUCCUGUACUUUUUUUUCUUCCUAGGCUGCUCCAAACUAAAACCUGCCAAUUACAGAAGUCACAGCAUACAUUUAUAGAAAAAACUUCCUGCCCUUCAAAACUGUUUAAUUAUAAGGAGAUUGUGUAUCGGUUAGCACUUGGUAUCAGAAAGGCCAUUGCUAACACUGUAUCAGGCUGUCUCAGACUCUUUCUCAGACCUACUGGCAAUCUGAAAAUGAAUGUUCUGGAUGUACUGAGCUAACAUAAGUGCUUAGUGAUAAGUGCAAAUGUUACUGUAAAGUGAGAAGGCUUGUUAACACAAAGAAACCUUUCAAUUCUGGUCUACGCUAAUAUCACUGUUUAAAAAACACAGAUCUCUAAGAGAGAGCAAUAGGUGUGCACCUGCUCCUAGUAGUUACUACUGUUACGAAGGCACUAAUAAGCAGGAUCCACACUUUAGUUUUAAUGUGCUCAAGAAUGUGAUUUGGAGUCAUUAUUACAGUAUGAACUGAUUUUUUUUUUAGAAGGUUUCUUGCAAAGGACAGUGAUGUCAGACAGUUGGUACCUGCCCCUUCAGAAGACAGAGGAUUGCCAAGUUUCCCUAAGAGAAACACAAGCAUGGAAUUUCUGGAAGAUGUUGUAUUUAUAAAUGUAAGCUGUCUCUGCCUCACCACUGGCUGAGAAUCCCAAGGAAGUCUUCCUGAAGAUCUGCUGGUGUUAACAAUUAUUUGACUGUACCAUGAUAUUUCUUCAGUGAUAAGCAAGAAAUCAUCAAAGUCAAAACCAACAAAGUCUGUAAAUCUUUGUUGUGGAAUGAAAUGUCACAUGCUACUUGAAGGCAUUCUCAGAGAGUGGUACAGAAAACUUCAGAGUGAACAGUCUCAAUUCAUUCACAAUUGCCUGAUUCACUUUAAUGCAAGUCCUCCAAUGGUAUCUGUUCUAUUAUAUCACUACUGCAGACUGAAAGUCUUUAUGUCAUGAAGAACCUGGAAGCCUAGAAAGAAUGAGUACUCUUGUAAUAGAGUCAAAUCUGAUUCACUAAUCAAAAUUGUAUCAUAUCAGGAGAGUUUGCUCAAAAAAAGAUAUAUUUUGGAUGGAUUUUGAAUUUUGAGAAGUUCUUCAGUACUUCUGAAGUUACAUAUUCAGGAAAUGGUUUUAGGUAAUAAUUCUUAAUGUGAAUUUAUUUUCAAAUAUGGUUAUAGUAUUUGUUUCAGUAAGGAAAAGUAGUAUUUGGAGGAUCACAGUAUCACAGAAUGGAAAGGGUGGAAUGGACUUGUGGAGAUUAUAUGGUCUAAACUCACUGCUCCAUCACCUGCACAAUAAAGAAGUGCUUCCUGAUGUUUACCUCUUAUGUUUCAGUUUUUGCCCAUUGCCUCUUACGCCGCCAUUGGGCACCACAGAGAAGAGCCUGGAUCUGCCAUCUUUGUACCCUCUUUUCAGAUUUUUACAGACACUGGUACGAUCCCCUCAGAAUCUUCUCUGUGCUGAACAGCCCCAGCACCCCCACUCAGCUGCUCCUUGUAGGAUACACGUUCCAAUUCAUCAUUUUUGUGGCCCUUUGUUGGGCUCUCUAAUAAUUUCACAUCUCUCUUGUAACGAGGAGCACAGAAUGGGAUGCAGCACUUCAGGUGUGGCUGAGUAGAGCACAAAGGAUCAUGUCCCUCAACCUGCUGGCAGCAGUUAGUCUAAGGCAGCCCUGGAUACCGGUAAGCCUCUUAGUGGCAAAGCUGCACUGCUCUUUGGACCCCCAGGUCUUUUUCUGCAGAGCAUCAUUCUGUCUGGGUGGCCCCCAACAAGCCCUGGUGCCUGGGGUUGUUCCUCCCUACCUGCAUGACUCUGCACUUCUCUUUGUAGAACUUCGUUUCUGCCAGCCCAUUUCUUGAGCCUGUUAAGGUCCCUCUGAAUGGUAACACAACUUUCUCAGGUAUCUGUCUGUCUUCUAGUAUUGUCUACAACUUACCAAGGGUGUGCUCUGUCCCACUGUCCAGAUUAAUGAAGAUCUUAAACAGGACUGGACCCAGUAUUCACCCCUGAAGUACUCUGCUCAUUACUAAAGGCCUCCAGUUAGACUUUACACCACUGAUUGCUACCCUCUCAAGUCCAGCUGUUCAGCCAGUUUUUGAUCCGCCUCUCUGGCUGCACAUUCAGCUCAUAUUUCAACAGCUUAUCUGUCGGGGUGUUGUGGGGGACAGUGUCAAAGGCCCUGCUGAGUCCAAGUAGAAAAUACAACUCCCAGUCCACCGGGCUGGUGAUUUUAUCAAAGAAGCUGAGCGAGUUGGUUAAGAAUGAUUUCCCUUUGGUGAAUUCUUGCUGACUAUUCCUAAGGAUUUUCUUGAAACUUAAAGGGAGAAGAUAGGAAUGAAUUCAACCAUUUGAGACUACAAGUAUAACUUAAAGUACUAUUUCAGUUGAUCUAUCAGCUGAAACACAUAUGCUUAGACAGAUAAACCCAUAUUUGGUGCAGGAAUGCUUGAAAUUCUUGAUCCUUUGUGUACCUUUUAAUGUACAACUAUUCUUACUUAGCUUUCUUAGAACUGUGCAGUAAAAUUAGGGUUAACAGCUUGGAAGUGACUACUGAAAGUUUUACUUUGAAAUGAGUGAUGCUGUUCGUAAGGCAUGGGCAGACUUCAGCAUGUGUCUGCACUGUAACAAAGUGUCAGUGUCAGUUCUUCUGUAGAGCAGUGGCAAGAGCUGUGUUGCAUAUCUCAGGAAAGAAUCUCUAGCGUUAUGGAGCAGGGAAGUCCUUUCUUUCCUGUUAAUUACAGUUGAUUAAAAACAAAACAAAACAAACAAACAAAAAAAAA
Long non-coding RNA from Lagopus muta (rock ptarmigan), 2840 nucleotides. RefSeq lists it as uncharacterized. Lineage: Eukaryota; Metazoa; Chordata; Aves; Galliformes; Phasianidae. The transcript has 2 exons. The record is from RefSeq and is a predicted model, not a curated record.